Molecule: ribosomal RNA, 250 nt
Filed under: uncultured bacterium
Lineage: Bacteria
Description: partial 16S ribosomal RNA
Rfam family: Bacterial small subunit ribosomal RNA
Source: RNAcentral
UACGAGGGAUGCAAGCGUUAUCCGGAAUUAUUGGGCGUAAAGCGUCCGCAGGUGGUUAUACAAGUCUGCCGUCAAAGCGUGGAGCUUAACUCCAUACCGGCGGUGGAAACUGUAUGACUAGAGGUCAGUAGGGGUCACGGGAAUUCCCAGUGUAGCGGUGAAAUGCGUAGAUAUUGGGAAGAACACCAGCGGCGAAAGCGCGUGACUGGGCUGAUUCUGACACUCAUGGACGAAAGCUAGGGGAGCGAAA